Molecule: transfer RNA, 77 nt
Filed under: Cyanobacteria bacterium CRU_2_1
Lineage: Bacteria; Bacillati; Cyanobacteriota
Also listed under: 1 other name
Description: tRNA-Glu
Source: RNAcentral
AGCAUCGUGGACGAGCAGAGAAGUCGCCGUGCCUCUCAAGCAUGGAGAAGCGGGUGCAACUCCCGUCGAUGCUUCCA